RNAcentral lists this ribosomal RNA (582 nucleotides) under uncultured Bacilli bacterium. RNAcentral describes it as "bacterial SSU rRNA". It matches the Rfam family "Bacterial small subunit ribosomal RNA", at positions 158 to 727 of the family's 1533-position model. The record is from RNAcentral. Lineage: Bacteria; Bacillati; Bacillota; Bacilli.
GAUAGCUAAUACCGCAUAAAAGUCGACAUUGCAUGAUGUUGACUUGAAAGGUGCAAUUGCAUCACUAAGAGAUGGACCUGCGUUGUAUUAGCUAGUUGGUGAGGUAACGGCUCACCAAGGCGACGAUACAUAGCCAACCUGAGAGGGUGAUCGGCCACACUGGGACUGAGACACGGCCCAGACUCCUACGGGAGGCAGCAGUAGGGAAUCUUCGGCAAUGGGGGCAACCCUGACCGAGCAACGCCGCGUGAGUGAAGAAGGUUUUCGGAUCGUAAAGCUCUGUUGUAAGAGAAGAACGAGUGUGAGAGAGGAAAGUUCACACUGUGACGGUAACUUACCAGAAAGGGACGGCUAACUACGUGCCAGCAGCCGCGGUAAUACGUAGGUCCCGAGCGUUAUCCGGAUUUAUUGGGCGUAAAGCGAGCGCAGGCGGUUAGAUAAGUCUGAAGUUAAAGGCUGUGGCUUAACCAUAGUACGCUUUGGAAACUGUUUAACUUGAGUGCAGGAGGGGAGAGUGGAAUUCCAUGUGUAGCGGUGAAAUGCGUAGAUAUAUGGAGGAACACNCGGUGGCGAAAGCGGCUC